RNAcentral lists this ribosomal RNA (409 nucleotides) under Fusobacteriota bacterium. RNAcentral's name for it is "Fusobacteria bacterium partial 16S ribosomal RNA". It matches the Rfam family "Bacterial small subunit ribosomal RNA", at positions 355 to 776 of the family's 1533-position model. The record is from RNAcentral. Lineage: Bacteria; Fusobacteriati; Fusobacteriota.
UGGGGAAUAUUGCACAAUGGAGGGAACUCUGAUGCAGCAACGCCGCGUGCGGGAUGACGGCCUUCGGGUUGUAAACCGCUUUCAGCCAUGACGAAGCUUUUGUGACGGUAGUGGUAGAAGAAGCACCGGCUAACUACGUGCCAGCAGCCGCGGUGAUACGUAGGGUGCGAGCGUUGUCCGGAAUUAUUGGGCGUAAAGAGCUUGUAGGCGGUUUGUCGCGUCGAUAGUGUAAACACGCAGCUUAACUGUGUGCCUGCUGUCGAUACGGGCUGACUAGAGGAGGGUAGGGGAGAAUGGAAUUCCCGGUGGAGCGGUGGAAUGCGCAGAUAUCGGGAAGAACACCAGUGGCGAAGGCGGUUCUCUGGACCUUUCCUGACGCUGAGAAGCGAAAGAGUGGGUAGCAAGCAGG